CAAAGAGCUGCAAGACCGCGAGGUGGAGCUAAUCUCAUAAAACCGUUCUCAGUUCGGAUUGUAGGCUGCAACUCGCCUACAUGAAGCUGGAAUCGCUAGUAAUCGCGGAUCAGCAUGCCGCGGUGAAUACGUUCCCGGGCCUUGUACACACCGCCCGUCACACCACGAGAGUUUGUAACACCCGAAGUCGGUGGGGUAACCUUUUUGGAGCCAGCCGCCUAAGGUGGGACAGAUGAUUGGGGUGAAGUCGUAACAAGGUAGCCGUAUCGGAAGGUGCGGU
RNAcentral lists this ribosomal RNA (280 nucleotides) under Bacillus thuringiensis. RNAcentral's name for it is "partial 16S ribosomal RNA". It matches the Rfam family "Bacterial small subunit ribosomal RNA", at positions 1240 to 1518 of the family's 1533-position model. Lineage: Bacteria; Bacillati; Bacillota; Bacilli; Caryophanales; Bacillaceae. The record is from RNAcentral.